RNAcentral lists this ribosomal RNA (469 nucleotides) under uncultured bacterium. RNAcentral describes it as "partial 16S ribosomal RNA". It matches the Rfam family "Bacterial small subunit ribosomal RNA", at positions 28 to 507 of the family's 1533-position model. The record is from RNAcentral.
GACGAACGCUGGCGGCGUGCUUAACACAUGCAAGUCGAACGGAAAGGCCCUGCUUGCAGGGUGCUCGAGUGGCGAACGGGUGAGUAACACGUGGGUGAUCUGCCCCUUACUUUGGGAUAAGUCUGGGAAACUGGGUCCAAUACUGGAUAGGACCAUGCUGUAGGUGGUGUGGUGGAAAGAUUAGUUUCGUUAAGGGAUGAGCUCGCGGCCUAUCAGCUUGUUGGUGGGGUAAUGGCCUACCAAGGCGUCGCCAGGUAGCCGGCCUGAGAGGGUGGACGGCCACAUUGGGACUGAGAUACGGCCCAGACGCCUACGGGAGGCAGCAGUGGGGAAUAUUGCACAAUGGGCGCAAGCCUGAUGCAGCGACGCCGCGUGGGGGAUGACGGCCUUCGGGUUGUAAACUCCUUGCAGCCAUGACGAAGCCCUUGUGGUGACGGUAGUGGUAGAAGAAGCACCGGCUAACUACGUG